Hemicordylus capensis (graceful crag lizard) is the source of this 364-nucleotide long non-coding RNA. RefSeq lists it as uncharacterized. The record is from RefSeq and is a predicted model, not a curated record. The transcript is spliced from 3 exons. NCBI's taxonomy places the organism in Eukaryota, Metazoa, Chordata, Lepidosauria, Squamata, Cordylidae.
AGGUAGUGAUACACAUGCAGCUGCCAUGUCUCUCCUGCCACCCCUGGCUCAUCAAACCUGAUCCAAUUAGUAAGGAAUCUGAGUCUUGACAGUUUUGUGUCAGGAAAUGAAAGAACUGGUCAAGAAGCAAUAGCAGUGUGUGAUGAGAAAUACCGGUGAAUUUCCCACAUCUUGCUUUUGUAUGUAGAACGCAAUAACAGUUCUACAAAAAAUACUGCCAGUGGACAACUUUUAAUGUGUGGACCAUGGGAGACUCUUAACCUCCAUAGUUCCAAACUCUUUACCUCCAUGGCUAGAUCAAGGGAGUGCAACUGACGAAACAACAAAACCAAUGGCUAGUGCUCAUAUAAGGUCUAUUUGUUUA